CCUACGGGGGGCAGCAGUGAGGAAUAUUGGUCAAUGGUCGGGAGACUGAACCAGCCAAGCCGCGUGAGGGAUGACGGUACAGAGUAUCGUAAACCUCUUUUGACAGGGAACAAAGGCGGGGACGUGUCCCCGGAUGAGUGUACCUGAAGAAAAAGCAUCGGCUAACUCCGUGCCAGCAGCCGCGGUAAUACGGAGGCUGCGAGCGUUAUCCGGCUUUAUUGGGUUUAAAGGGUGCGCGGGCGGUCUUUUAAGUCAGCGGUAAAAUGCCGGGGCUCAACCCCGGCCCGCCGUUGAAACUGGGGUUCUUGAGUGGGCGAGAAGUAUGCGGAAUGCGUGGUGUAGCGGUGAAAUGCAUAGAUAUCGCGCAGAACUCCGAUUGGGAAGGCAGCAUACCGGCGCCCAACUGACGCUGAGGCACGAAAGCGUGGGGAUCGAACAGGAUUAGAUACCCUGGUAGUC
RNAcentral lists this ribosomal RNA (459 nucleotides) under uncultured bacterium. Its description in RNAcentral is "partial 16S ribosomal RNA". It matches the Rfam family "Bacterial small subunit ribosomal RNA", at positions 338 to 795 of the family's 1533-position model. The record is from RNAcentral.